Molecule: ribosomal RNA, 21 nt
Filed under: Cordulegaster picta
Lineage: Eukaryota; Metazoa; Arthropoda; Insecta; Odonata; Cordulegastridae
Description: partial 5.8S ribosomal RNA
Source: RNAcentral
CGUGGAUCGAUGAAGAACGCA